AGCCCACUGAAUUGGAUACUGGGUGACGCCUGCCCCAUGACCUAUGAAAGUUAAAUGGCCGCGGUACCUUGACCGUGCUAAGGUAGCAUAAUCAUUUGGCUUUUAAUUGGAGUCUGGAAUGAACGGAUACACGUAGAGAAUCUGUCUCUAAACCUUUACCACGAACUUACUAAGUAGGUGAAAAAGCCUAUUCAAGAUAAAAGACGAGAAGACCCUUAGAGUUUAUUAGAUAAAUUAUAUGUUUUGUUGGGGCGACACAGAGUCAAGAAGAACACUCUGGAAACCGAUGCGACGGGUAUUAUCAAGUUCAGAAAAACUACCUAAGGGAUAACAGCAUAAUCUAUAUUUAGGUUUGUGACCUCGAUGUUGGACUAGGACGUCUAUUAGUUAACCGCUAAUAAGAGGAAUUCUGUUCGAAUUAUUACUCCU
Molecule: ribosomal RNA, 429 nt
Filed under: Globophiline sp. 1 DS-2020
Lineage: Eukaryota; Metazoa; Mollusca; Gastropoda; Cephalaspidea; Philinidae
Description: partial 16S large subunit ribosomal RNA
Rfam family: Bacterial large subunit ribosomal RNA
Source: RNAcentral